RNAcentral lists this ribosomal RNA (432 nucleotides) under uncultured bacterium. Its description in RNAcentral is "partial 16S ribosomal RNA". It matches the Rfam family "Bacterial small subunit ribosomal RNA", at positions 29 to 506 of the family's 1533-position model. The record is from RNAcentral.
AACGAACGCUGGCGGCAUGCCUAACACAUGCAAGUCGAACGAGACCUUCGGGUCUAGUGGCGCACGGGUGCGUAACGCGUGGGAACCUGCCCUUAGGUUCGGAAUAACUCCCCGAAAGGGGUGCUAAUACCGGAUAAUGUCUUCGGACCAAAGAUUUAUCGCCUUUGGAUGGGCCCGCGUUGGAUUAGCUAGUUGGUAGGGUAAAAGCCUACCAAGGCGACGAUCCAUAGCUGGUCUGAGAGGAUGAUCAGCCACACUGGGACUGAGACACGGCCCAGACUCCUACGGAAGGAAGAAGGGGGGAAAAUGGGAAAAGGGGCGAAAGCCGGAUCCACAAAGGCGGGGGGAGGGAGGAAGGCUUUAGGGUGGAAAAGCUCUUUUACCCGGGAGGAUAAGGACAGAACCGGGGGAAUAAGCUCCGGCUAACUCCGU